RNAcentral lists this ribosomal RNA (355 nucleotides) under uncultured bacterium. RNAcentral describes it as "partial 16S ribosomal RNA". It matches the Rfam family "Bacterial small subunit ribosomal RNA", at positions 338 to 690 of the family's 1533-position model. The record is from RNAcentral.
CCUACGGGAGACAGCAGUGAGGAAUAUUGGUCAAUGGACGAGAGUCUGAACCAGCCAAGUAGCGUGAAGGAUGACUGCCCUAUGGGUUGUAAACUUCUUUUAUAUGGGAAUAAAAUGUUCCACGUGUGGGAUUUUGUAUGUACCAUAUGAAUAAGGAUCGGCUAACUCCGUGCCAGCAGCCGCGGUAAUACGGAGGAUCCGAGCGUUAUCCGGAUUUAUUGGGUUUAAAGGGAGCGUAGGUGGAUUGUUAAGUCGGUUGUGAAAGUUUGCGGCUCAACCGUAAAAUUGAAGUUGAAACUGUCAGUUUUGAGUACAUGAGCGGGGGGAGGAAUUCGUGGUGUAGCGGUUAAAUGCU